This is a long non-coding RNA of Rosa chinensis, 1456 nucleotides long. RefSeq lists it as uncharacterized. NCBI's taxonomy places the organism in Eukaryota, Viridiplantae, Streptophyta, Magnoliopsida, Rosales, Rosaceae. The transcript is spliced from 3 exons. The record is from RefSeq and is a predicted model, not a curated record.
UUCAAAUAUUGUAUCGAGGCAAUGCCCAGGAAGAGAAGACAGAAAAGAAAUCCCUCUCUCUCGACUUUGAGCUCAGGACCUGGUUUUUGAGCUACUCUCACUUCUGGCUCUCGAUUUUGAGCCCACGCAUUCGAUUUUGAGCUCCUCUUCUCUCACUUCAUCUUCAAUUUUGAGAUCAGAACCUCCUCUACUCUCAAUUCCGGCUCUCGAUUUUGCGUUAGCAGGUUGAGGAAUUGGCUUCUCUUGUCAAGGACAAUCUUUUGUGCAAGCAUCUUAUUCUCUCAGUGGAAGAGGCUUCUUAUUCUCUCAGUGGAAGAGGCUUUGGUGGACUUCCGUCAGAGUGAUACCAAGCAUGAGCCAAUCGGUACUACUACAUGUGUUUGAAUGAUCUACUAGCUUUGGUGGUGGUGGUAACUUUGCUUUAUGCUUAGAUGGAGAUCUGUCAGUUACUUUGCUUUUGCACUAUUUUACUUUACUUUUGUGUUCACACUUGAGAAUCUGCCAAUUUAGUACUAUGUCUACUGGAGAAGUAAGUUCAAUCUUAAGAACAAGUCUACUAUGUCUGCUGGAUUUUCUGUUAAUGUGGUCUUUUGGUUGAUUAAGAAAGUUGAAGGAAAAAUGAAACUGAAUUUUGCCUCAGCUUAUUAUAAUUAGUGUUUUGGUUUAUGGGAUUGUCAUUUCAUUGCUGGGUUCCUUGUACCAUUUUGCCUCAGUUUAGGUUGCUGCUGCAACCCAAUCUUGUUUUUGUUUUUGUUUUGUGUACUUAUUGAAUUUGUUUGAUGAGGCUUUACGUCGAUGUGCUUUCAUUUUAGCAGAGAGAUGGUUGUUCCUUAAACAAAAUGGUGGCAGUAUAGCUGAAUUUCAUCUUGUUUUCUUUUUUUGUGAAAUAUACUCUCUCUUAUUGAUAGAUAGUAUUGACUUUGUGUAUGUCCAGACUUCAAAAAAAGGUGGCAAGAAAGGAAAAAAGCAAAAAAAGGGUAUAGAGGCAGAUGUUAUUGCUAUUAAUAGGGAAGAAAGAAAUCCAGGAAUAAGAAUGUCUGUGGUUGUUUGUCUUGUUAUUAUGCUUUGCAUAUAUUGUUGCUCAUUUAGAAUAUAGGAAUGAUGGUUGAUCAGAACAUCCUCAUCAAUAGCUUUAUCAAACAAAUUUAGUGUAAGGAACAAGUUUUUACUCCUACUAAUGCUUGUCAAUAGCUUUAAAGGGCCAACUUCACUAAUGCUUGUCAUUUCUUGUCUUUGCAGGCUCUAUGAUGUAUGACUUCUUUAUGGUAAAUGGUUGGCAUGUGGCAUCAUAUCAAGCUAUAAUCAGCCCUUUCAAGUACUCAUGUAAUCAAUCCGAAUACAAUUCUAAUCUAGCUAGCAUGUUCUAUAUUUGAAAACCAAUUUAACUAUACUAUGAUUUUGUAAUAUGAAGUUACUUAAUUGAUAUAAUUUACUACAUGAAUGCUUUUGUUUACUA